RNAcentral lists this non-coding RNA (248 nucleotides) under Bacillota bacterium. Its description in RNAcentral is "Firmicutes bacterium T-box sequence". It matches the Rfam family "T-box leader". From Rfam's summary of the family: Uncharged tRNA acts as the effector for transcription antitermination of genes in the T-box leader family. T-boxes are found upstream of many aminoacyl-tRNA synthetase genes and some amino acid biosynthetic genes usually in Gram-positive bacteria. The anticodon of a specific tRNA base pairs to a specifier sequence within the T-box motif, and the NCCA acceptor tail of the tRNA base pairs to a conserved bulge in the T-box antiterminator hairpin. Lineage: Bacteria; Bacillati; Bacillota. The record is from RNAcentral.
AUAUCUGCGAGGAUGGGGACAGUAGCCCGUCCCUCCGAUGCCAAGAGAGCCGCCGUAUGGUGCAAGGCGGACACGGAGGACAGCGGCGAAGAUCACCCCGGAGCAUCCGGCUGAACCGGCAGUAAGCCCGGACGGCAGAGGGCCGUUAUCUUCCCUUCCCCCCCACGGCUCGUGGGGCAGAGCGGCCGCACCCGGUGCGGCAACAAGAGUGGUACCGCAGAGGUUUCUUAGUGGCCUUUGUCUCUUAC